Hyla sarda is the source of this 272-nucleotide long non-coding RNA. RefSeq lists it as uncharacterized. Lineage: Eukaryota; Metazoa; Chordata; Amphibia; Anura; Hylidae. The transcript is spliced from 3 exons. The record is from RefSeq and is a predicted model, not a curated record.
CACAAAUCUCCUCUAUUAUGUUUAUUUUUAUUCCUGUACAGGGGAAAUGUUUGAAAGCCCCAUAGAGAGUAUAUGGAUCUCUGCCCAAGAAUUCCCAUUGCUGCCCCAUUCACGUAGAGAACAGAAAUACGCAGAGACUGAAGAUUUCAUUCACUAAAUGUUAAUAAAAUAUUCAAUACAAUAAGACAAGUUUAUCUGGUUGCUCUGUGGAGACGAGUCUUGGCCGGGAGAAGUCUUCAUGAUGCCCCGGGCCGGAUAAUGGGAAAAAAAAG